Molecule: ribosomal RNA, 342 nt
Filed under: uncultured Thermus sp.
Lineage: Bacteria; Thermotogati; Deinococcota; Deinococci; Thermales; Thermaceae
Description: bacterial SSU rRNA
Rfam family: Bacterial small subunit ribosomal RNA
Source: RNAcentral
GCUGCAUGGCUGUCGUCAGCUCGUGUCGUGAGAUGUUGGGUUAAGUCCCGCAACGAGCGCAACCCCCGCCGUUAGUUGCCAGCGGUUCGGCCGGGCACUCUAACGGGACUGCCCGCGAAAGCGGGAGGAAGGAGGGGACGACGUCUGGUCAGCAUGGCCCUUACGGCCUGGGCGACACACGUGCUACAAUGCCCACUACAAAGCGAUGCCACCCGGCAACGGGGAGCUAAUCGCAAAAAGGUGGGCCCAGUUCGGAUUGGGGUCUACAACCCGACCCCAUGAAGCCGGAAUCGCUAGUAAUCGCGGAUCAGCCAUGCCGCGGUGAAUACGUUCCCGGGCCUU